This 253-nucleotide ribosomal RNA is filed under the name uncultured bacterium. RNAcentral describes it as "partial 16S ribosomal RNA". It matches the Rfam family "Bacterial small subunit ribosomal RNA", at positions 524 to 776 of the family's 1533-position model. The record is from RNAcentral.
UACAGAGGUCCCGAGCGUUACUGAGAAUCACUGGGUUUAAAGGGUGCGUAGGUGGCGCGUUAAGUCAGUUGUGAAAUCCCCGGGCUCAACCCGGGAACUGCUUCUGAUACUGGCGUGCUUGAGGCCAGUAGGGGUCACUAGAACUGACGGUGGAGCGGUGAAAUGCGUAGAUAUCGGGAGGAACACCUGUGGCGAAAGCGGCUCACUGGACCACAACUGACGCUGAGGCGCGAAAGCUAGGGGAGCAAACAGG